CUCGUAGGCGGCCGACUAAGUCGGACGUGAGAUCCCCCGGCUUAACUGGGGAACUGCGUCCGGGACUGGUCGGCUUGAGUUCGGGAGAGGGACGUGGAAUUCCAGGUGUAGCGGUGAAAUGCGUAGAUAUCUGGAGGAACACCGGUGGCGAAGGCGGCGUCCUGGACCGACACUGACGCUGAGGAGCGAAAGCCAGGGGAGCAAACGGGAUUAGAUACCCCGGUAGUCCUGGCCCUAAACGAUGAAUGCUUGGUGUGGCGGGUAUCGAUCCCCGCUGUGCCGGAGCUAACGCAUUAAGCAUUCCGCCUGGGGAGUACGGUCGCAAGGCUGAA
This 332-nucleotide ribosomal RNA is filed under the name uncultured bacterium. Its description in RNAcentral is "bacterial SSU rRNA". It matches the Rfam family "Bacterial small subunit ribosomal RNA", at positions 568 to 898 of the family's 1533-position model. The record is from RNAcentral.